AGUGAACGCUGGCGGUAUGCCUAACACAUGCAAGUCGAACGGCAGCACAGUAAGAGCUUGCUCUUACGGGUGGCGAGUGGCGGACGGGUGAGGAAUACAUCGGAAUCUACUUUUUCGUGGGGGAUAACGUAGGGAAACGUACGCUAAUACCGCAUACGACCUACGGUUGAAAGCAGGGGAUCUUCGGACCUUGCGCGAUUGAAUUAGCCGAUGUCGGAUUAGCUAGUUGGCGGGGUAAAGGCCCACCAAGGCGACGAUCCGUAGCUGGUCUGAGAGGAUGAUCAGCCACACUGGAACUGAGACACGGUCCAGACUCCUACGGGAGGCAGCAGUGGGGAAUCUUGGACAAUGGGCGCAAGCCUGAUCCAGCCAUACCGCGUGGGUGAAGAAGGCCUUCGGGUUGUAAAGCCCUUUUGUUGGGAAAGAAAAGCAGCAGGUUAAUACCCCGCUGUUCUGACGGUACCCAAAGAAUAAGCACCGGCUAACUUCGUG
Molecule: ribosomal RNA, 492 nt
Filed under: uncultured bacterium
Lineage: Bacteria
Description: partial 16S ribosomal RNA
Rfam family: Bacterial small subunit ribosomal RNA
Source: RNAcentral